Molecule: transfer RNA, 67 nt
Filed under: Tanaocerus koebelei
Lineage: Eukaryota; Metazoa; Arthropoda; Insecta; Orthoptera; Pneumoridae
Description: tRNA-Ile
Source: RNAcentral
AAUGGAAUGCCUGAUUAAAGGAUUAUCUUGAUAGGGUAAAACAAGUAGAAAGUUUCUACUUCCAUUA